UUUUUCAGAUUUUAUUUCUCUCAUUUCUCUUUCUCUCUCCCGUGAGUCUCUCUCUCUCCCCGACCCCGUCGCUCUCCCUUCCUCCCUCUGCAACUCAGGCCACCGGCCACGGCAGCGCACGAGACCGGACUCGAUCGAACCGCCACCUCCUCCUCUCUCUUCCCCGGCCAGCACCGCACCUGGAGUCGUCGACAGCCGCCGGAAAUCGCAGAAAACAGGCCGGAAAAUCGUGGAACUUCAACACCUUCGUUCUCCUUCGUUUCUCAACCAAAUUGGACGAGUGAGGUGAUCCGACUCCGCCUUCACAGCAGGCAGGACCCUCUCAGGGUCACGCAGCUUGGGACUACUUCCAGUAGUGACUGGAACGAGCCGCAGUGCCGUAUUUUGUGCUUCUGUUUUCACGAGCUUCAGCACUUGAGCCUUCUCAGGGCCUCUGUGCUAUGGCAUAGGCAGGUUCAAGCUUGGUGGAGUUGAUGAUUCAUGGGUGGAAUGUCAUUGAGUUGAUGUGGUUGUGGUUUAGGCAACUUGUGGUCUUGGUGACAGAUUUGUGGGUCUUUUGUGUGCAACUAUGCUGUUUUGUGCGGUGGCGGUGUCUCUUCUCACUUUUGGCCUUGAUGGUGCAAUCCUAGUCCUCUUGGAAACGGUGACGACUUUUAUUUGCUUAGGCUAGGGUUUACGAGAGCUUUGGGUGUGAACUGGGUUGUGUGCUUAUUUUAGGGCUCUGAUUGUAUUUGAGGUGGGCCAUUGGAUUAUGUUUGUUGUAUUGUCUAGAGCUUUUUUUCGUUGUGUUGGGUUCACGAACUCUAUUCUAGACUUGGUUUAAGUUUAGAUAUUCCUUCCUAGUUGUGUUA
Molecule: non-coding RNA, 851 nt
Organism: Prunus avium (sweet cherry)
Lineage: Eukaryota; Viridiplantae; Streptophyta; Magnoliopsida; Rosales; Rosaceae
Source: RefSeq, a predicted model, not a curated record